RNA transcript from Varanus komodoensis (Komodo dragon), 9323 nucleotides. It is a transcript of the gene named lemur tyrosine kinase 2, with no coding region annotated. The record is from RefSeq and is a predicted model, not a curated record. The transcript has 14 exons. NCBI's taxonomy places the organism in Eukaryota, Metazoa, Chordata, Lepidosauria, Squamata, Varanidae.
GGGAAGCAGGAGCAGUGGAAGCAUCUUUCUCACUGAUGAUACUUUCUGCCUGUAGCCUUGUAGUCCUGGUACUACUGCUUGUGAACUGUGUGUCCUGCUGUAAAGAUCAAGAGAUAAACUUCAAGGAAUUUGAAGACAAUUUUGAUGAUGAAAUAGACUUUACACCACCUGCAGAAGAUACCCCAUCUGUUCAGUCUCCAGCAGAAGUGUUCACGCUUACGGUCCCCAGUGUUUCUUUGCCAGCGGCAUCACAGUUCCAACUUCCUACAGAAGGAUUGAAAUCUCAAGUGGCUCGUCAGAAUCUCAGCUAUAUCCAAGAAAUUGGAAACGGCUGGUUUGGAAAGGUUCUGCUCGGGGAGGUGUACACAGGCACCAGUGUGGCAAGAGUGGUUGUGAAAGAGUUAAAAACAAGUGCCAGCCUCAAGGAACAGGAAUGGUUUUUGAGGCACGGAGAGCCCUAUUUAAUUCUUCAGCAUCCAAAUGUCCUCCAAUGUACUGGACAGUGUGUGGAAGCCAUUCCCUUUCUUUUGGUAUUUGAAUUUUGUGACUUGGGUGACCUAAAAACAUAUCUUUGCAACGAGCAGGAGAACAUUAAAGGAGAGUCUCAAGUCAUGCUGCUGCAGCGGAUGGCGUGCGAGAUUGCUGCUGGACUCGCUGUAAUGCAUAAGCACAAUUUCGUGCAUGGUGACUUAGCCUUAAGGAACUGUUUCCUUACAUCAGAUCUGAAUGUAAAAAUUGGAGACUAUGGAAUAGGUUUCAGUAGGUACAAGGACGAUUAUAUUGAAACAGAUGAGAAGAAGCUUGUGCCUCUCCGAUGGACUGCACCGGAGCUGGUGACCAGCUUCCAGGACAGGCUGUUAACAGCUGAGCAAACAAAGAACAGUAACAUCUGGUCACUGGGCGUAACACUAUGGGAGCUUUUCAGCGGUGCUGCAAAGCCUUACUCUGACUUAUCUGAUGAUGAGGUCCUGGCGCAGGUCAUAAAAGAAAAACGGACCAAACUCUUGGAACCCUGUCUUGAGCAGCCAUGUUCUGAUAGAUGGUAUGAAGUUCUACAGUUCUGUUGGCUGUCUCCAGACAAGAGAGCAACAGCGGAAGAAGUACACAAACUUCUAACAUACCUCUAUAUGCAAAGUCAAAGGGAUUCAGUGAUUGAUCCUGAACAGUGGAAUGAUCUCAAGCCCAAUACUUCCAACAGAGAACUCUUCAGCGACUCCGCCUUUCCAAUUCUGGAUCAUUUCACAGGCAGCAGGUUUGGCCGUGAGCUGGAGGAAGUCCUCACAGUAACCGAAACAAGCAGAGGGCUCAACUUUGAGUACAUCUGGGAGGCAGCCAAGCACGACCACUUCGAGUGCAGCCAGGCAAAUCCUGAUGAAGGCAUGACUUACACCAGUAUCUUCUUUCCAAUGGAGGUUUUUGAAAAUACACUUUCAGAGCAAGGGCCUGGAGCUCCUGCUGAAAGUGGACAGGAAUUUUCAAUUUGUGUGCCUGGGCAACUUCCUGUGUUCAAUGCCCACAAACCUUCCGUUGGAAAUGAUUAUUACAUCCAGUUAGAGGAGAAGAGCAGAGGUAGCAGUGUAAACUUAGAUAGCCAGGCUGCUGUAUUGACCACAGAAGUAGACUGCUGUGAAGUUCUGCAAGACAAGAACUCUCACUUCUUGGUUCUUAGCGACUUUGCUGCUGAAUCUUCUACAGAUGGGGACUCGUCCUGUUACAAUACAGAACCCAAAGAAGAGGACUUGCGUGUUAAUAGCCCCGACAGCCCUUUCGAAAAUAUAUUUAGUGAUGCCGCAAAGACAGAACACUUGACAAAUACGAGAAAUAGGUUUGAAGUAGCUGAUAUAAUUGAUAUUCAUGUGGAGCUUGAAGCUGCUUCCUGUGCAGAUCUAGAGGAAUCUGUCGUUGAUCAGGCCAAGAAGGGAAGUUCUAGCCACAGCCCUGAACAUGGAACUAUUUAUUUGCACAAUGAUACCACACAGCAGUCUGAUCCUGGCCUUCUGACUUCGGAAGAACUGUGUGAUAACUUUCUUUUUCUUCAAGAGAACAAACUAUUAAAGGAUACCCUGUGUAACAAGGCUGCUGCUGGUGAGCUCGGUGGAGCACCUGACAGCAACACUUUAAAAUCACUAAAUAUGGACCUUCUGGGCAUUGAACAUAAAACAACUGGGGAUACUCCAGUUCAUAAAGAUGAGCAUGUUCAAAUGGGUACAAAUAGCACAAGUAUUCUGGCUCCGGACUUUGCACAGAGUCCAAGCCCAUCUAGGUCACCCGUGAUGGAUAAGCAACCUGUAUCCCCCCUGUUAAGAGCUGAGAGAAACCUUUUCAAAGUAGGAGUUGAUGAUUACUCUGCUGGUAGUAUUCCUUACUCUUACUGUGAAAAAGAUCAAGCCCCUGAAGCCACCGUGACUGAAACACUUUCCUUGAAUGCCAAAAAUGAAGCUGAUGGGACCAGUCCCUGUCAUAGCAUUGCCCUCCAUGCUCAAGAGGGAGAAAUACAGUCAAAAGCUAAGGGACUUAAAUACAAUAGCAGUAGUUGUGUGGAGCUGGUCCAGGACUUAGAGAAUAAGCCAUCGGAAUUAGAACAAGAUGGUGCCUGUCCCCUGGACCAAAUGGAUGAAACAUCAGUGCAGCUUCAAGAAAGUAACACAGAGACUCCCAUCAAAGGCAUUGCUCUUCCAACUGUUCUUCCUUCAGAUUGUUCAAGUCAUGACAGUCUGCUUGAAGACAGUUUGUCAACUCCAAUGCAGAGCAUGGGGCAGUCUGUAAAUACACCAGACUCAUUAGAUUCCUUAGAUGUUAAUGAGGUCUUAGAGUCUUUAGUGGGCCAGAGUCCCCAGAAACCUUUGCCACCUGAUAAACCUGCAGAUAGCGGCUACGAAACAGAAAAUCUUGAAUCUCCAGAAUGGACAUCACACCUUCUGGGCAGCAACUCCAAUGAAGACUCUGUUUUGUCUAAUGCUGGUGAUGAUAAUCUCUUGCACGAUAAUCCUGCAAUCAUUGUGUCAUCAGAUAUAAAGACUGAGUUGGAGGCAGCAAAUAUCAUAGAUGGAUUUGAAGCUGUCUCUAAGGCUACUUUUGGUGGCAUCCAGAAUUCAUACAGGGAUUCUGCCUAUUUUUCUGAUAAUGAUUCUGAGCUAGACAAGAAAUCUGAGGUGACCAACACAUCGGUGGAGCCACGAGAAAUAAGAGAGGAUGGCACUUGUAGUGACUACUUUGAAAUGGAAAAGAAUCGGAAUACAGAAAAUCAGCCAAAUGGCAACCAAGUAGCGGAUGAACAUUUUGCUAAUAACUUGUCUCCAUGGAUAGAAUUGGAUGAGAGGCUAGAGGGACACCAACCAGGUGAGAUGAAGCAGGACUGUCCUCAUAAGGAUGGCGACGCAAUUUUAGUGCUACCCAUGGUUGAUCCAGAGUUUGUUGAUGAAGAUGACAUUGAAAUAUAUGAGUUCCCCAGAAGUGUGUCUUGUACAGGUACCAGUACAGCAGACUUCCUUCCUGAGAAGGAGUUAAAGCUCAUGUCUAAUUUGUAUGGUCCUGCAGAAGUUUUUGAGAAGUCCUUACUGUGCCACCUGGACAGUCAUAAGUUGAAAGAGCCAGACGUUGAAGGUAAAUACCUUGGUAAGCUUGAUGUGGCUGGCAUGCUCGAUCUGUCAUUGGAUGGAGAAGAUGCUGAUGAAGAAGAUGAGAACAGCGAUGAUUCUGAGGAUGAUAUGAGAACUUUCCAUCUUCAUGGGCUUAGCUCUGACAGUGAUGAGGAGAUUGCGCAUCAGGUACCCAUCAUUCUUACUGACAAGGAUGAUGGCAAACAUCUAAGAAGCUUGCUGAAACACCCAAGGCAACUGGGGCAGAACAACCCUCCGGAAAGCUCUCUGAAGAAUGAGAGAAAAGCUGUAACGUUCUUUGAUGACGUCACUGUCUAUCUGUUCGAUCAGGAAACACCAACCAAAGAGCUUGGAAAUCGUUCUUCUGAAUCAAAUCAUUCAGCUUCUAACAACACUCCUGACUCUGCUUCAGGCCUUGGUUACUUGAAUAAAUUUACGAAUUCGGAAAGCUCUACUGACGAAGAAGGUGGAGGUUUUGAAUGGGAUGAUGACUUCUCUUCUCCAGAGCCCUCUUUUAUAUCAAAGGCAGCAAAUACUCUCAUCAGUUCCAAGCCUUCUCUUCAGACCUCAAAAUACUUCUCUCCGCCGCCACCGCCUCGAAGCCCUGAACAAAACUGGUCACAUCCUUUACCUUACUCCAGAUUCUCCAUCUCGCCAGCAAACAUAGCAAGUUUCUCUCUCACUCAUCUUACGGAUUCUGAUAUUGAACAAGGAGAUGCGCCUUGAAAUUAACGGAAGUGAUGCAAACAGUGUCCUGAGGAGGUGCUUUUUCCCUGGAAGUUUUCCCACUCCUCCAAAAUUGGAAGCCUCCAAGUAAACAAGUUCACCCCGGGAGCAGUGAAGAUGGAGAGAAAGAUUAAGCAUUGGAAGCUUCGCUCAGUGCACUGCCAUGCCUGUGGGGAACACCGCCACUCCUCUGCAAGAGCCCCCUUUUAAAAAACAGACCAACAAACGGAAUGCAUCUGAAAACAGUGCCCAUGCGCUGAAGUCCAAUAGUCAAGCAGUCGAUGGACUCUGAAGGCAGCAUUGGAUCAGGGCGUGAACUGGAAGGUGGAUGUGACCACUUAAAAGUGCACUGUUCUUUGGAAACUGGUGCAUUUUGCAUUUCCUUUCAAAAUGACUCCGUGCUGGCUUUCCUCUUCUCCCCCCUCAUCGUCCUGUACUUGAAGAAUCCUUCGGGUAAUUUGUAACAUUCUGUAAAAUCGUCAUGUUCUGGUUUCUAUAUAGGAUUGUAUCAUACCCUUUUGUAUUCAUGUAUUAUCUCUAUAAGGACACGUACAAUUGCACAGAGCCGGCUGCCCCUUGACAGGAUCUGGCUGAGAGCUGUCACGUAGUAAGCCAUACUUCGGGGGCUUCGUGCAUUGCUUGGCUGCACAUGCGCUACUGACUCUCCUUCCCAGCCCCCCCUCCCCCCGCCAUACAAAGGCACCCUUCUUUGCUCCCUGGUUGAGAGAAGUUGUUGCUUCGGCCUGUUGGACCGGUUCGCUGUGUUCUCUGAUGUCCCUUUGCGUGCAAAGCACUUGUCAGAAUGCACAGAGCUCUUCUCUUCUCUUCUCUUCUCUUCUCUUCUCUUCUCUUCUCUUCUCAAGUAAUAAUUUCUGGAUUUUUUUGUGCUGUUCACAUUUCUUGAGGGUCAAUUCAGUUUUUAUUCUAAAUAUUGUGUGUGUGUGUGUGUGUGUACAUGUGCAUACACACCCAUUUGCAGUAAAGGGGUUGACAAAUCAGCCUUUAUUUAUAGUUGGCUGGAAAUGGUGGUCAUGGGUGUUGGUAUCAUAGGAAUUUUUUUUCAAGGGAUGUCUGGAGUCUGUGUGUGAGAGAGUGAGUGAGCGAGCGAGCGAGAGUUUGUCAGCUGUGCUCUUAGUUACUGGGUAACUUCUAGCAUUGCUCCUCAUCUUCAGGGAUCCGUCAGCACUUCUGCUGGAAGACUCUAAUAGGGGGUGUGUUGACUCAUGCGGUCGCUGUUAACCUUUCUUUUGCAGUCAGGCAUCUAUAAAGAAGGAGCUUUGAUAAAAGUAGGUUCACGGGGAGUCUGCCUGGGAUUCUCUGGUUCUCACAUGUGGCACAAACAGGCUUUGACACGGAUUGGAUCUUCUGUGCUUCCUGUGCACAGAAUAUCCUGGCGAGCCGCCUUCCCCAGCCCCGGCGUCCUUUAGAUGUGUCGGACUGCAGCCCACAUCCUUCUCUUGGGGUUGAUGGGUGUGGUAGCCCAAGACUUCUGGCGGGUGCCAGGUUGGGGAAGGCUGCACGCCUGAAGUUCCUCCAUGCAUACAUGCACUUAUGGGUGCACACGUUUCCUGGUGGAGUGGCCCUCAAAUGGUUCCGUUUCCUGAAGGAGGCUACCAGAAAUUUAAGGGUGAAUGGCAGUUGGGUAGAAUCGGAUCUUUCACAGCCUUUUAAAAAGGCCUUUCCAGAGUCCUGAUGGAAUGAUGGAGCCCUGUUUGGACUAGUGCAUAAAAUAGGAAAGGAGACCUCUCCAACUCUGGCAAACAUUGCUUUGACUGCAAAGGGCAUGUGUGCCUGGUUGCAUGCACUCCUCAGUAAAAUUUGUCUGUCUCGAUGUACCUCACUCUGAAAAUGAGCUUUUGUAAUAUAUGUUUUCAGCCACAGCUUUGGCAGAGAGAAAGGAAUGUUUAAAGUAUUCUGUUUUUUUCAAGCUAUCUGGCUAAUCUGUGCAGGCUUCUCCUCACUUUGGGUCUGACAGAGAACAUCUGUCAGUGAUAUCAGUAGGUUUAAAACCCUCUCAUUUCAGAAUGUAUGGAAGUGUUGUGCCCCCCCCCCCCCCGCUGUUCUUCACUGUUCUCUUCCAGCCAGGUCGGCUCUUGUUGGCCACCUGGACAGAAAUUAGCAUUCAUUAAAAUUAAAGCUCCUCUUUACAAGGAACUCCGACUGUCAGAAAACCAGCUUGAGAAACGUGUCAUUUCCUGUGCUUGCUCACAGUCCACCUGCAUGUGCCUGCCGGCCUUGUGUAGCAAUAUUUUGCUGCACCUUGUGAUGUUGUCUCUCCCUCUCAUUCCAUUUUUUUUGGAGGCGGGGGGAAGGAAAAGCAAAAACCGAAUUGGGGUUGUUGGGUUGCAAAAACAAAUAUACGUGUGUGUUGAACUGGCUUUUAAAAUGCAGGUGAGAGUUUUGGGCAUCUCUGAAACUGCUGCUCAGCUGAUACUUCAAGAGAUGUGAACUCCCAUGUGAACUUUGAACUCAAUAUAUUGAGGUUUCAAUAUGCUGUGGAAGCACGGGCCUCUAACUUUGGACACAGUUUGUCAGACGUCCCAACCCCUGUGUUGGGCUACAACUUCCAGCUGCCUGGCAAGAGAUGUUUGGGGUAGCAGCCAGCACAUCUAGCGCUGCCUCCAGGCUGGUUUUCUGUGGCGGGGUUAAGUCACCAGAGUUGGUAAUCCCUUUUGCACCUCUACUUUGCUUUUCUGUGCCCAGCUUUACCCCAUUGACUUGUUUGCAUUUCAUGGGACAGGACUUUCUUUGGGCGCUCGAGGUUUCUCCCCGGCCUUCUCCGGAGUACCAGAGCUGGGAAUCCCAUGCCACAGACAAAAGUUCAGUGCCUGGAACGUUCCCUGCGAUACUCAGAAUGAGGAGUUGCAACCUUCGGAGCAGUCAGAAAAUGCUUCUUGGAAUGGGUUCAUACGGCUGGCACCAGGGAAUGAAAGAUUUUUUUCCCCUUGAUUUCAGUCUGUCCUGACCAGAAUCUUACAUAUAUUUGACGCUUUAGGAUAUUGUAUGCAUUGCAAACAUGCAAUCUUGCCAGCCCUUUCUGGAGAGAACCCAGUAUACGUCCAUCCCAUUGAAAUGAGAGAGUUCUAAAUUACCUCCUGCCCUUGAACCCCUUUCCCAGUUGGCAAUAUUGUGGUAUGGCACACACGUAAACUACCAGAGCUUUUUAAAAGGCUGAGCGUCAAGUUAGUUUCACUUUACUUGCAGCACUGUGCUUUCUAAAUUCGUAAAUUCAGGCCGGUACAAAUUUCCUAACCCUUUCUAGAAGACCGGCUUUAUACCUUUUAAUCACAGGAAGGCAUUUAUGUGAUACUGGCCAUGGGCUAACAUUGCAUUUUUUUUGCACUGCAGUUUCCCAGAAGAUGGGAUGUCUCAAGUUGGAUACGGGAAAGGUUAGCAGCCUAGGCAAUGCUUGUGAGGAGCUCUUCUGUGGCCUCGUGCAGCUGCUUUUUAUUCUUGUUGCUGUAGUUUUUUAGCUUCCCCGGGACUGGAAACCAUGAAGGAAGGUGGCUUGUAGGCCCAGGUGUUGGUUUGAGGGAAUCUUAGCUGUUGCUGCUGCUAUACUGGCAUUUUUAAUAGCUUCAUGAUAGGUCACAAAUUUUCAGACGCCUCUCGCUCCCCACCAAGCAGAGGGGACGCAGCGUGGAAAAGCUUCGGCCUGUGGAAAGGUUCUGCCUCGCACAGAAGUUUUGAAGGCGCUGGAGCCCGGCUCCUACGUCCUGAGUUGUCUGUCCUUGCCUUUGAGGAGCGGCUAUGCACACAAAGGCAGGGAAGGGGGCUGCUUGGGGGGCGGGAGCAGCAUUCCCAUGAAUCCCAUAGGAUGGCUCCGAGACCUUGCUUUGGCGCUUGCGAUCGUGGCGGUGCGGUCCAGACAGGGGCUUGGAGCAAGGAACAAGGUUUCGGCCCUUUUCAGGUGUACAGCAGGGGAAAGAUGAAAGCACACACCAGAGGGGAAAAUCCAGGUGAAGGAAAUGUCUCAAUGUAGAGCCUGCCUAUGCUGGCUGGGGCCUGGGUGAUGGGAGUUGUAGUCCAACUCAUCUGGAGGGUGCCAUGUUGGAGAAGCCGAGUUUAAUGUUUGUAAAGAAGAGGCCGAAGAGAAUGUGGAGGCUUUUAAUCACUAUGUCGUUUUCCAGGUUUGCUAUACGCAAGUGAGAAGGCAGUUUCCACCACUUCCUGGGAAAUGAAAUUCUUCUUUUUUUAAUCCGGGGUAAAGCACUAAUGAGAGCCAUUCAUGCCUAUUUUUUUAAACAGUAUUGUGUAUUGGUUUGUCUGUAGUUCUGACUGUCAUUAUUAUUAUGGAGCCAUCUGCAUGGUUAAGAGCUUUUAGAGGAGUUGAAACAAACAUUCAGCUUAAAUUUCAUUGAUGGCAAAAUGGCUAUUUGAAUCGGAAGGUGGAAUUGGAAGCAUACAAGCCUUAUAAGAAAUAGCCUUAAAAUUAAGAAUGGAGUGUAAAAAAGAAGCAACAAAGAAUUUAAAUUCAGCUUUAAGUUGUAUGAAAUAUCCUUUUUUUAAAAAAUCAAGUCUUUAUGGAGUAAUUGUAGAAGAGGUGAGUACAAGAGAAGGCAGAUAAAUAUAAGUGUUGUAGACCACCAACCUGGUUUUUACUUUAUUUUAUUUUCAAAUGAAACUUGAAUUAAUUUAAGAUGUCUGGUUCCGUUUAAUGAAUUGUCUGAUCUUGCACAGUGGUAGGUGUAACCUAAUGGUAAAUGGUACCAAUUGAUGUGUAUAUAUAAUGUUUUGCUCUCUUUGUAAAUGAGGAAAAUGUAUGUAACAAAAUCAUAGGGGAAAGGUUUUCCUAUUUGGAGUUUAAUACCAGGUAUGAGGUUUAUGGCAAUAUGCUAGAUAAUGAAAUUUCAGGUUGAAUUUGUCUUUAAAUUGUGUAAAUUUUAAAACUGUAAUAUUUCUACUGUACAUUGAUCAUGACUAGUGUGAUUCAAGACUGCUUGUAAUUUAAAGAACCUUAUUUAAUAUUCAAAAUAAAAUAAAGGUAUAUAUUUAUAA